RNAcentral lists this ribosomal RNA (445 nucleotides) under uncultured bacterium. Its description in RNAcentral is "partial 16S ribosomal RNA". It matches the Rfam family "Bacterial small subunit ribosomal RNA", at positions 338 to 795 of the family's 1533-position model. The record is from RNAcentral.
CCUACGGGUGGCAGCAGUAGGGAAUAUUGCUCAAUGGGGGAAACCCUGAAGCAGCAACGCCGCGUGGAGGAUGAAGGUUUUCGGAUUGUAAACCCCUGUCAUGUGGGAGCAAAUUAAAAAGAUAGUACCACAAGAGGAAGAGACGGCUAACUCUGUGCCAGCAGCCGCGGUAAUACAGAGGUCUCAAGCGUUGUUCGGAAUUACUGGGCUUAAAGCGUGCGUAGGCUGUUUCGUAAGUCGGGUGUGAAAGGCGCGGGCUCAACCCGCGGACGGCAAAUGAUACUGCGAGACUAGAGUAAAGGAGGGGGAACCGGAAUUCUCGGUGUAGCAGUGAAAUGCGUAGAUAUCGAGAGGAACACUCGUGGCGAAGGCGGGUUCCUGGACAUUAACUGACGCUGAGGCACGAAGGCGAGGGGAGCGAACGGGAUUAGAUACCCUUGUAGUC